Molecule: ribosomal RNA, 417 nt
Filed under: Aurospio sp. 249 PB
Lineage: Eukaryota; Metazoa; Annelida; Polychaeta; Spionida; Spionidae
Description: partial 16S ribosomal RNA
Rfam family: Bacterial large subunit ribosomal RNA
Source: RNAcentral
GCAUAAUCAUUUGCCUUUUAAUCGGAGGCUUGUAUGAACGGACACACGAAAACGCAACUUUCUUAUCGAGGAAAAUAAAAAUUAACCUUCAAGUGAAGAGACUUGAGUACCAUAAAAAGACGAAAAGACCCUAUGGAGCUUUACUUAAGUUAUUAAACCACAAAUAAAAAAAGCUUUUUUUACUAAAAAAGUUUAGUUGGGGCGACUAAGGAGCACACACCACCCUCCUACUGACAAAAGACUCUAAAUCUACAAAAGAUCCACAAACGUGAAUAAAAAUCCAGCUACCCUAGGGAUAACAGGCUAAUCCUCCUUAAGAGCUCAAAUUGACAGGAGGGCUUGGCACCUCGAUGUUGGCUUAAGAUCUCUACUAAGUGCAGCAGCUUAGGUAGUAGGUUUGUUCAACCUUUAAAAUCU